Molecule: ribosomal RNA, 347 nt
Filed under: uncultured bacterium
Lineage: Bacteria
Description: bacterial SSU rRNA
Rfam family: Bacterial small subunit ribosomal RNA
Source: RNAcentral
AGAGUUUGAUCCUGGCUCAGGAUGAACGCUAGCUACAGGCUUAACACAUGCAAGUCGAGGGGAAACGACAUCGAAAGCUUGCUUUUGAUGGGCGUCGACCGGCGCACGGGUGAGUAACGCGUAUCCAACCUGCCCAUCACUUGGGGAUAACCUUGCGAAAGUAAGGCUAAUACCCAAUGAUAUCUCUAGAAGGCAUCUGAAAGAGAUUAAAGAUUUAUCGGUGAUGGAUGGGGAUGCGUCUGAUUAGCUUGUUGGCGGGUAACGGCCACAAGCAACGAUCAGUAGGGGUUCUGAGAGGAGGUCCCCCANAUUGGAACUGAGACACGGUCCAAACUCCUACGGGAGCA